AUUGCUUCCACACUUAUUCAACCCCAACUUCUAAGUGUGCCUAGAUAAAUUUCAUUUGGUAUCAGAGCUUGGCUCUACUUAUCUUGGUCUUAAAGGUGGCUUGUAGGGAAAGAUUCUGACAUGGCACAGUUCGGGAACAACAAUCAAGAAGGACAAUCAACCAAUAGACCUCCUUUGCUAUUUGGAACAGAAAAUUACAACUUCUAGAAGUUCCGAAUGAGGAUCUAUCUUAAAAGAGAUCCUUGGGAAUGGUGGGUUGUGAAAAAUGGACCAGUUGUUCCACGAAGAGAUGAUGGGACACCAAAGACUCUCCUAGAAUGGAUUCAACUAAAACCUAAAUGGUCUCAUAUGGUUCAAGGGCAAUGAAUACACUUCUCAGUGGUAUGGUACAAUCCGAGAUUGACAAGGUGGAGAUGCAACAUAGCUAAGGAAAUUUGGGAUACUCUAGUGGUAAGUCAUGAAGGAACAUCCAAAGUACGAGAAGUCAAGCUAAGCAUGCUUAUGCACUGUCGACGUCGGGAUUUUUAUUUGUCCCUUUUCUAUACUUGUUCUUUGGUGUUCUCAUGUUAGG
Molecule: long non-coding RNA, 571 nt
Filed under: Panax ginseng (ginseng)
Lineage: Eukaryota; Viridiplantae; Streptophyta; Magnoliopsida; Apiales; Araliaceae
Description: long non-coding RNA (PGIN_LNC009028)
Source: RNAcentral